RNAcentral lists this small RNA (21 nucleotides) under Arabidopsis thaliana (thale cress). Its description in RNAcentral is "ATSL024070". The record is from RNAcentral. Lineage: Eukaryota; Viridiplantae; Streptophyta; Magnoliopsida; Brassicales; Brassicaceae.
ACAGUAAAUGCAUUAUCGGAC